Molecule: ribosomal RNA, 738 nt
Filed under: Triticum aestivum (bread wheat)
Lineage: Eukaryota; Viridiplantae; Streptophyta; Magnoliopsida; Poales; Poaceae
Description: partial small subunit ribosomal RNA
Source: RNAcentral
AUGGUCGACCACGUCGUCGGCGCCACCACCACCUAUGCCCUUUAGAAGAAGAUCCGUGACUUCUUCCUCGCCAAUCGCGAUGCCCGAUACAUGAUCCUCAACCGGCAAUAUCGCAACCUCAAGCAAGGUGAUCUCCCCGUGGCCGAAUAUGCGCGCCGCAUGAAGCUCCUCACCGAUGGCCUCGCCGACAUCGACCACGCCGUCACUGAGACCGACCUCACCACUCAGUUUCUCCACGGCCUUGACAAGCGCCUCGAUACCAUCCGCGUCGUCCUCGGUGACCAGGGCCUCCCGUUCGACACCGUCCUCUCACGGGUGGUUCUGGCCGAGGAAUCUCAGGCGCAGCGCGCCGCCGAAGAGAGCGCUUCGGCCUUCGCUCUUCCUGGCGGUGACCGCGGCCCGGCCAGCGGCUCUGGCUUCGGCUUGCGCAGCUCCGGCGAUCGCGCCCCGAGCGGCUCCUACUCCGAUUGGCCUCCCUCCGACCGCGCCCCGGCCCCUCCCGCACAGCCGCACUCUGAUCGCGGUCGCGGUGACCGUGGCCGCGGCCAUGGCCGAGGUCGUGGCCGUGGACGCGGUGACUACUCUGCGCGCGGUCACCAGGUGUCCCUGUCGGCGCCCUUCACUGGGUACUUCGCCCUGUAUGGCAUGGCCCUCCCGUCGCCGCGCCCCGGUUGGGUUCCUCCCAACGCCGCCGGCGUCCUCGGGCCUCGUCCGGGUGCCCAUGUGUCGUGGAUCUAA